RNAcentral lists this microRNA precursor (82 nucleotides) under Chlorocebus sabaeus (green monkey). RNAcentral's name for it is "miRNA (ENSCSAG00000026454.1)". The record is from RNAcentral. Lineage: Eukaryota; Metazoa; Chordata; Mammalia; Primates; Cercopithecidae.
CUGCUGCGGUUGAGCCAGCUGCAGUAGGGGAGGUGCAUCUGGGGCUGUGCCCUCCGUGGAGCCAGCAGGGGGUGGUAACAGG